RNAcentral lists this ribosomal RNA (279 nucleotides) under uncultured bacterium. RNAcentral describes it as "partial 16S ribosomal RNA". It matches the Rfam family "Bacterial small subunit ribosomal RNA", at positions 506 to 784 of the family's 1533-position model. The record is from RNAcentral.
UGCCAGCCGCCGCGGUAACACGUAAGGUGCGAGCGUUGUUCGGAAUUAUUGGGCGUAAAGGGCUCGUAGGCGGCCUGCCAAGUCCCACGUGAAAGACCAGGGCUCAACCCUGGGAACGCGAGGGAAACUGGUAAGCUGGAAUCUUGGAGGGGGUACUGGAAUUCCUAGUGUAGGGGUGAAAUCUGUUGAUAUUAGGAAGAACACCGGGGGCGAAGGCGAGUACCUGGCCAAAGAUUGACGCUGAUGAGCGAAAGCGUAGGGAGCGAAGAGGAUUAGAUA